GACGAACGCUGGCGGCGUGCUUAACACAUGCAAGUCGAACGGAAAGGCCCUGCUUUUGUGGGGUGCUCGAGUGGCGAACGGGUGAGUAACACGUGAGUAACCUGCCCUUGACUUUGGGAUAACUUCAGGAAACUGGGGCUAAUACCGGAUAGGAGCUCCUGCUGCAUGGUGGGGGGGGGAAAGUUUCGGCGGUUGGGGAUGGACUCGCGGCUUAUCAGCUUGUUGGUGGGGUAGUGGCUUACCAAGGCUUUGACGGGUAGCCGGCCUGAGAGGGUGACCGGCCACAUUGGGACUGAGAUACGGCCCGGACUCCUCCGGGAGGCAGCAGUGGGGAAUAUUGCACAAUGGGCGGAAGCCUGAUGCAGCAACGCCGCGUGCGGGAUGACGGCCUUCGGGUUGUAAACCGCUUUCGCCUGUGACGAAGCGUGAGUGACGGUAAUGGGUAAAGAAGCACCGGCUAACUACGUG
This 468-nucleotide ribosomal RNA is filed under the name uncultured bacterium. RNAcentral's name for it is "partial 16S ribosomal RNA". It matches the Rfam family "Bacterial small subunit ribosomal RNA", at positions 28 to 507 of the family's 1533-position model. The record is from RNAcentral.